Panthera uncia (snow leopard) is the source of this 2470-nucleotide long non-coding RNA. RefSeq lists it as uncharacterized. The transcript has 2 exons. The record is from RefSeq and is a predicted model, not a curated record. Lineage: Eukaryota; Metazoa; Chordata; Mammalia; Carnivora; Felidae.
CUGCAGGUGAGUGGCGGUGGGCGGCUACGGGCUGUGCCGGGGCGGGAACCUGGCGUCCGGGCGGGUGCGUGCGUGUCUGCCGGGCUCUCGUUUGGAAGGAGCUGCACGUGCGCCGUGGGGAGUGACAGCCCCAGGGGCGUCUCCCCCGGACCGGCGUGACGGCCUCGGGAGCCCCCUGACCAGUGAGAUGGCCUCAGGGGUCGCUUCAUUACCAGCUGCUCACGCACUUGAACCUUCCCUUGUUUUUAGUCGAAAUGGCGUCAUGUCCAAGGUUUCUUCCCGAGCAAGUUGGAGACGAAAUGUCGGUACAGGCAGGUCUCUGCCAGCACCCGUGAUCUCACUGUUGGGGUGACUCCCCAGAAGCGAAGUCACAGUAGGACUGUAAGGCCUUUGUAAGUUGUCCAGCGGCACCCCCAGCGGGGCACUUACUCUCCAGCGUUGGUGGAGGACCGUGCCUGUCUCCCCCAACCUUCUCCUCGCCCCCAAGGUGCUGCCACAUUAGAGUCAAAAGUGAUAUUUUAAAUUAUAUUUCUUCAAAAAAUUUUUUUAACGUUUAUUCAUUUUUAAGAGACAGAAUUGGAGCAGGGGAGGGGCAGAGAGAGAGGGAGACACAGAAUCCGAAGCAGGUUCCAAGCUCUGAGCUGUCAGCACAGAGCCCGACGCAGGGCCUCGAACUCACAAACCGCAGGAUCACGACUUGAGCCGAAGUCGGACGCCGAACCGACUGAGCCACCCAGGCGCCCCUAAAUUACAUUUCUCAAUUGCAAAUGAGGUGGGACAAAUGAGGGACUUAUGUUAAAAAAUAUAGUGGCCACUUGUCUGCUUUCUUUUUGUGGUUACUUGUUUGUGACUUUUACCAAUUUUCACGUUUUCUCAUUAAUACGUAGUGGUCUUUAUAUAUUAAGGAUAUGCAUCUUUAUGUUACAAACAUACCCCCACCCAGUUGUUGUUUUUUUUCAUUUCUUUGUUUAUCCUAAAUUUCUUUGUGUAGUUAAAUCUGUCAGACUUUAGUAUCAAGCAUAGCAAAGUCGCUUCUCAAUCCAAAAGUGCACCAGUCAAAUAACGUUUGUAAGUUUAUUUAGUUAGUAGAGCAUGUGAGAGUGGGAAGGGCACAGAGAGAGAGAGAGAGAGAGAGAGAGAGAGAGAGAGAAUCCCAAGCAGGCUCUGAGCGUUCAGCACAGAGCCUGAUGUGGGGCUCGAUUCCACGAACCAUGAAAUCAUGGCCGGAGUUGAACUCCAGAGUCGGAUGCCUAACCGCCUGAGUCACCCAGGCACCCCUCAAAUGACUUUUUAUUUUGGGGGUUUCAUAUUUUUAUAUUCAAAUCUUUACGAUCAUCAAGAAAAAAGUAAUGCCCUAGACACGUCUCCAGACGUUUGAUCGCUGACCGGAGGCCUUGUGGGCUUGUUCCUCGUGGAGCGAAGCCACCGCAGGCAGCGAGCGAGCAGGGGCUGCCACACCCAGCUGCGCUCUCCGUCUGCUGGGGACGGGACGGGGGAGCCAGCGUGGUCCAGACAGCAUUCCCAGGGGGGAUCCUCCGGGACACUAGUUCCUGGGGUGUCUCGACUUGGAUUUCUAGUGGCAGAAACAGGCACAGUGGAUGAGGUGGCUCCUUCAGGGUCUCCAGGAGCAGCUCUGACCUCUCUGAAGGCAUUCUGGGCUCGUCCCCACUUUCCAGACGGGCAUUUUCCUCCCCGUGUCUUCCUUCUUACUCAGGCAGGUGUACCCACUGCUGGCGUUCCCACAAGGCACAGCGAGGCGCGCCCCCAGGUCUGGUCUGCAGCACAGCAAUGAGACGGCCACCCUGAUGGACACACACACAGCACCCCAGCUAGCUUGGGCCCAGACCAGGUGGCUGGAAGAGUAUGAUGAGUGAGAAUCUGGCUAGCCUCCCACCCACUGCCCUCUCGGGCUCCGGGCUCCCUCUGUCCUGAAGACUUAAGGCCAUGCUUGAGGGCUGUCGAAGCUGAGGACUCCUAUCCAGUUUACUGCUGUUGCUGCGGUGUGGGACGAGUGGCGCUCGGGACAGCACCGUCUCCCCUCCGUGCAGACACACGCGCUGCCUCGGGCUCUGCCACCACAUACGCCGUCUGCUGCGUCGGGGGGCGGGGCCUGGGUGGAGUGUGGCCACGGCUGCCAGAGCAUUCUGCAGAACCCCCCACACCUGCCUCUAUUCUCCCUUGAGAUCAAAGAACCCCAGUGUCCCACGAACAAACACUCACCCCUUCUUUGGGCCCUGCCUUGACGCUGCCCUUCCAAGUCCCGGACGUCCAGGCUGGGCCUCUCCCUCCCCCACCGGACCUUAACCCUGGCCAGAUCCGGUCCACACAGGGCUCUUCACAGUCCCUCGCUUUGGGAUGAAAUGAUUUUAGCAAAUGCCAACGCGCACAGAGUGGCGGAAGAGAAACGGGUUACAGCAGAACACACAUUUUAAGGGAAUAAAGAGCACCGUGUGUUGCUUGCUGGCCCUGA